CCUACGGGCCGCACCAGUGGGGAAUGUUGCACAAUGGGCGCAAGCCUGAUGCAGCCAUGCCGCGUGUAUGAAGAGGGCCUUCAGGUUGUAAAGUACUUUCAGCGGGGAGGAAGGUGUUGUGGUUAAUAACCGCAGCAAUUGACGUUACCCGCAGAAGAAGCACCGGCUAACUCCGUGCCAGCAGCCGCGGUAAUACGGAGGGUGCAAGCGUUAAUCGGAAUUACUGGGCGUAAAGCGCACGCAGGCGGUCUGUCAAGUCGGAUGUGAAAUCCCCGGGCUCAACCUGGGAACUGCAUUCGAAACUGGCAGGCUAGAGUCUUGUAGAGGGGGGUAGAAUUCCAGGUGUAGCGGUGAAAUGCGUAGAGAUCUGGAGGAAUACCGGUGCGAAGGCGGCCCCCUGGACAAAGACUGACGCUCAGGUGCGAAAGCGUGGGGAGCAAACAGGAUUAGAUACCCCCGUAGUC
This 464-nucleotide ribosomal RNA is filed under the name uncultured bacterium. RNAcentral describes it as "bacterial SSU rRNA". It matches the Rfam family "Bacterial small subunit ribosomal RNA", at positions 338 to 795 of the family's 1533-position model. The record is from RNAcentral.